Molecule: long non-coding RNA, 1242 nt
Filed under: Gadus morhua (Atlantic cod)
Lineage: Eukaryota; Metazoa; Chordata; Actinopteri; Gadiformes; Gadidae
Description: lncRNA (ENSGMOG00000032295.1)
Source: RNAcentral
AUGAGUCGACUCAUCGACUUCACGCUGAUGUUACUUUACAGACCAACUUCGGAAAACUGUAGUUCCACCAUAGAAACGCUAGAGGUCAGCAAUAAUCCCCGUCGCACAAUGACGUCGGUUAGGAAAAGUGGAGUCGAAUUCAUUUUAAACAGCGCUGUCUUUUUCCUGGAGAAGGCGUAUGACCGGGUCCCCCGGGAGAAACUGUGGGAGGUGCUGCGGGAGUAUGGGGUAAGGGGGUCUAUCCUCAGGGCCAUCCAAUCUUUGUACUCCCAAAGCGAGAGCUGUGUUCGUGUUCUCGGCAGCCAGUCAGUUUCGUUCUCAGUGGGUGCUGGUCUCCGCCAGGGCUGCGCCUUGUCACCAAUCCUGUUUGUGAUAUACAUGGACAGGAUAUCGAGGCGUAGUCGUGGUGGGGAGGGGUUGCAGUUCGGUGGUCUGAGGAUCUCGUCACUGCUUUUUGCAGAUGAUGUGGUCCUCAUUGGAUCAUCGGCCUGUGACCUUCAGCACUCACUGGAUCGGCUGGCGGCCGAGUGUGAAGCGGCUGGGAUGAGGAUCAGCACCGCUAAAUCUGAGGCCAUGACUCUUAGCAGGAAACCGGUGGAUUGCUUACUCCGGGUAGGAAAUGAGUCCUUAGCCCAGGUGAAGGAGUUCAAGUACCUCGGGGUCUUGUUCGCGAGUGAGGGUACUAUGGAGCGUGAGAUUGGCCGGAGAAUCGGAGCAGCGGGGGCGGUAUUGCGUUCGCUUUACCGCACCGUUGUAACGAAAAGAGAGCUGAGCCGCAAGGCAAAGCUCUCGAUCUACCGGUCGAUCUUCGUUCCUAUCCUCACCUAUGGUCAUGAGGGCUGGGUGAUGACCGAAAGGACGAGAUCGCGGGUACAAGCGGCCGAGAUGAGUUUUCUCAGAAGGGUGGCUGGCGUCUCCCUUAGGGAUAGGGUGAGAAGCUCAGCCAUCCGUGAGGAACUCGGAUUAGAGCCGCUGCUCCUUUACUUAGAAAGGAGUCAGCUGAGGUGGUUCGGGCAUCUGGUAAGGAUGCCCACUGGGCGCCUUCCUUGGGAGGUGUUUCAGGCACGUCCAGUGGGGAGGAGACCCCGGGGAAGACCCAGGACUAGGUGGAGAGAUUAUAUCUCAACACUGGCCUGGGAACGCCUCGGGAUCCCCCCGUCAGAGCUGGUCAAUGUGGCCCGGGAAAGGGAAGUCUGGGGCCCCCUGCUUGAGCUGCUCCCCCCGCGACCCGACCCCGGAUAA